Molecule: ribosomal RNA, 444 nt
Filed under: uncultured organism
Description: partial 16S ribosomal RNA
Rfam family: Bacterial small subunit ribosomal RNA
Source: RNAcentral
ACUCCUACGGGAGGCAGCAGUGGGGAAUAUUGGACAAUGGGCGCAAGCCUGAUCCAGCCAUGCCGCGUGAGUGAUGAAGGCCCUAGGGUUGUAAAGCUCUUUCACCGGUGAAGAUAAUGACGGUAACCGGAUAAGAAGCCCCGGCUAACUUCGUGCCAGCAGCCGCGGUAAUACGAAGGGGGCUAGCGUUGUUCGGAUUUACUGGGCGUAAAGCGCACGUAGGCGGACUAUUAAGUCAGGGGUGAAAUCCCGGGGCUCAACCCCGGAACUGCCUUUGAUACUGGUAGUCUUGAGUUCGAGAGAGGUGAGUGGAAUUCCGAGUGUAGAGGUGAAAUUCGUAGAUAAUCGGAGGAACACCAGUGGCGAAGGCGGCUCACUGGCUCGAUACUGACGCUGAGGUGCGAAAGCGUGGGGAGCAAACAGGAUUAGAUACCCUUGUAGUCC